AACGCACAUUGCGCCCUUUGGCAUUCCGAAGGGCAUGCCUGUUCGAGCGUCAUUAUCAACCCUCAAGCCCGGCUUGCAGUUGAGCCCCGCCCGUGACACGGCCGGCUCGAAAGACAGCGGCGGCGUCGGACCGACCCCGGAUGCAACGAGCUCACGAGCACGCAUCGCGCGGCCGGCCGGCGCCCGCCUCGAACCCCCCACUUCAAUGGUUGACCUCGGAUCAGGCAGGGAUACCCGCUGAACUUAA
RNAcentral lists this unclassified non-coding RNA (247 nucleotides) under Spizellomyces sp. RNAcentral describes it as "partial contains 5.8S ribosomal RNA, internal transcribed spacer 2, and large subunit ribosomal RNA". Lineage: Eukaryota; Fungi; Chytridiomycota; Chytridiomycetes; Spizellomycetales; Spizellomycetaceae. The record is from RNAcentral.